ACAUCGGUUCUGAGGGUCGGUCAAAGGCCCUGGGAAUGUAUCUACCCACGGGUAGACUUAUAGACCAGGGUGUCAUGCGGCCUCUCGGGACCGAGGAACGCGCUUCGGCUCGGAUGUUGGCGUAAUGGUUGUCAGCGACCCGUCUUGAAACACGGACCCAGAGCUUCUCCCCGAGCACGUACCGGACGAGGGCACCCGGGACCCGGUCCUCUCCUUUCACUAGGAAACUUUUUCAAGGUUGACCUCGGAUCAGGUAGGAAUACGCGCUGAACUUAAGCAUAUCAAUAAGCGCAGGAAAAGAAACCAACAGGGAUUACCUUAGUAACGGCGAGUGAAGCGGUAAUAGCUCAAAUUUGAAAUCUGGCCUCUUGGGGUCCGAGUUGUAAUUUGUAGAGGAUGUUUUGGGUACCGCCCCGGUCUAAAUUUCUUGGAACAGAAUGUCAAAGAGGGUGAGAAUCCCGUCUUGGACCGGCGGUAGGGCCUGUGUAAAACUCCUUCGACGAGUCGAGUUGUUUGGGAAUGCAGCUCAAAAUGGGUGGUAAAUUUCAUCUAAAGCUAAAUAUUGGCCAGAGACCGAUAGCGCACAAGUAGAGUGAUCGAAAGAUGAAAAGCACUUUGAAAAGAGAGUUAAACAGUAUGUGAAAUUGUUGAAAGGGAAGCGCUUGCAACCAGACUUGAGCGCGGCGGUUCCCCCGGUCUUUUGGCCGGGCUACUCCGUCGUGUCCAGGCCAACAUCGGUUCUGAGGGUCGGUCAAAGGCCCUGGGAAUGUAUCUACCCACGGGUAGACUUAUAGACCAGGGUGUCAUGCGGCCUCUCGGGACCGAGGAACGCGCUUCGGCUCGGAUG
This 847-nucleotide ribosomal RNA is filed under the name uncultured Chaetothyriales. Its description in RNAcentral is "eukaryotic LSU rRNA". The stretch from base 240 to 847 matches the Rfam family "Eukaryotic large subunit ribosomal RNA", at positions 1 to 625 of the family's 3401-position model. The record is from RNAcentral. Lineage: Eukaryota; Fungi; Ascomycota; Eurotiomycetes; Chaetothyriales.